UACUUUUGCACGAUUGAAUAGAAAAUCUAUUUUAGCAUAAAAAUUAUUGAAAUAAUAUUGGCAUG
Psychroflexus torquis ATCC 700755 is the source of this 65-nucleotide non-coding RNA. The record is from Rfam. Lineage: Bacteria; Pseudomonadati; Bacteroidota; Flavobacteriia; Flavobacteriales; Flavobacteriaceae.